This 338-nucleotide ribosomal RNA is filed under the name Centruroides guanensis. RNAcentral's name for it is "partial 12S ribosomal RNA". Lineage: Eukaryota; Metazoa; Arthropoda; Arachnida; Scorpiones; Buthidae. The record is from RNAcentral.
AAAAAAGUAGAAAAAUUAGGUAGUAAGGGAUGACCUAAAACUUAAAGAAUUUGGCGGUGUUUUAAGCUUAUCAGAGGAACCUGUUUUAUAAUCGACAAUACCCGACAAAUCUUACUUAAAUUAAUAGCUUGUAUAUCGUUGUGUUAAUAAUAUUUUAUAACUAUUAUUAGGGGUGAUUUUAUCUUUUAUAUCAGAUCAAGGUUCAGUUGAUGUUUAAGUAAAAAAUGGGUUACAAUAUAAUUAUAUAUCUACGGAAUUUAGUUAUCAAAGCUAAGUGAAGGAGGAUUUGAAAGUAUUUUUAUGAUAAUGAACUGAAUUGAAUUAGCUCUAAAACAUGU